GCUGGGCAUGGUGGUGAAUGCCUGUAAUCCCAGCAGGUUGGGAGGCUGAGGCAGGAGGAUUGUGAGUUCAAAGCCAGCCUCAGCGAGGCCCUAAGGGGAAAAUGCAACUGUGAAUUAACUCAGCAAGACCCUGUCUCUA
Molecule: small RNA, 139 nt
Filed under: Marmota monax (woodchuck)
Lineage: Eukaryota; Metazoa; Chordata; Mammalia; Rodentia; Sciuridae
Source: RNAcentral